CCUACGGGAGGCAGCAGUGAGGAAUAUUGGUCAAUGGGCUUACGCCUGAACCAGCCAAGUCGCGUGAGGGAAGACUGCCCUAUGGGUUGUAAACCUCUUUUGUCAGGGAGCAACGCCGGCUACGUGUAGCCGGACUGAGAGUACCUGAAGAAAAAGCAUCGGCUAACUCCGUGCCAGCAGCCGCGGUAAUACGGAGGAUGCGAGCGUGAUCCGGAUUUUUUGGGUUGAACGGGUGCGUAGGCGGAAUGCAAAGUCAGGGGUAAAAUCGCGGGGCUCAACCUCGCUCCGCCGUUGAAACUGGCGUUCUUGAGUGGGCGAGAAGUAUGCGGAAUGCGUGGUGUAGCGGUGAAAUGCAUAGAUAUCACGCAGAACUCCGAUUGCGAAGGCAGCAUACCGGCGCCCAACUGACGCUGAAGCACGAAAGCGUGGGUAUCGAACAGGAUUAGAUACCCUUGUAGUC
RNAcentral lists this ribosomal RNA (460 nucleotides) under uncultured bacterium. RNAcentral's name for it is "partial 16S ribosomal RNA". It matches the Rfam family "Bacterial small subunit ribosomal RNA", at positions 338 to 795 of the family's 1533-position model. The record is from RNAcentral.